Molecule: ribosomal RNA, 454 nt
Filed under: uncultured Bacteroidota bacterium
Lineage: Bacteria; Pseudomonadati; Bacteroidota
Description: bacterial SSU rRNA
Rfam family: Bacterial small subunit ribosomal RNA
Source: RNAcentral
UGUANGAGGCACGNGGNAGGCCUAACACAUGCAAGUCGAGGGGUAGCAGGAUUAAGCUUGCUUAAUUGCUGACGACCGGCGCACGGGUGCGUAACGCGUAUGCAACCUACCUUAUACUGGGGUAUAGCCCGGAGAAAUUCGGAUUAAUCCCCCAUAGUACUAUUUAACCGCAUGGUUGAAUAGUUAAAGUAUUGCGGUAUAAGAUGGGCAUGCGUCCUAUUAGCUAGAUGGUGAGGUAACGGCUCACCAUGGCUACGAUAGGUAGGGGGCCUGAGAGGGUGGUCCCCCACACUGGUACUGAGACACGGACCAGACUCCUACGGGAGGCAGCAGUGAGGAAUAUUGGUCAAUGGGCGCAAGCCUGAACCAGCCAUGCCGCGUGCAGGAAGAAUGCCCUAUGGGUUGUAAACUGCUUUUAUUUGGGAAUAAACCUCUUUACGUGUAGAGAGCUCAA